RNAcentral lists this ribosomal RNA (490 nucleotides) under uncultured bacterium. Its description in RNAcentral is "partial 16S ribosomal RNA". It matches the Rfam family "Bacterial small subunit ribosomal RNA", at positions 29 to 507 of the family's 1533-position model. The record is from RNAcentral.
AUUGAACGCUGGCGGCAUGCCUUACACAUGCAAGUCGAACGGCAGCAUGAUCUAGCUUGCUCGAUUGAUGGCGAGUGGCGAACGGGUGAGUAAUACAUCGGAACGUGCCCUGUAGUGGGGGAUAACUAGUCGAAAGAUUAGCUAAUACCGCAUACGACCUGAGGGUGAAAGUGGGGGACCGCAAGGCCUCAUGCUAUAGGAGCGGCCGAUGUCUGAUUAGCUAGUUGGUGAGGUAAAGGCUCACCAAGGCGACGAUCAGUAGCUGGUCUGAGAGGACGAUAGGCCACACGGGGAGUGGAACCGGGCCAGGCCUCUUCGGGGGGGCGGAAGGGGGGAAUUGGGGACAAGGGGGGAAAGCUGUACCCAGAAAGGCCGGGUGUGAGAAGAGGGCGUUGGGUUUGAAAAGCUCUUUUGUCGGAAAAGAAAGGGCUGGGUUAAAUCCCGGGGGUCGAUGACGGUACGGGAAAAAAAAGGCCCGGCUAACUACGUG